RNAcentral lists this ribosomal RNA (479 nucleotides) under Conus judaeus. RNAcentral describes it as "partial 16S ribosomal RNA". It matches the Rfam family "Bacterial large subunit ribosomal RNA", at positions 1853 to 2596 of the family's 2925-position model. Lineage: Eukaryota; Metazoa; Mollusca; Gastropoda; Neogastropoda; Conidae. The record is from RNAcentral.
UCGGACCUGCCCAGUGAAGUUUAAACGGCCGCGGUACUCUGACCGUGCAAAGGUAGCAUAAUCAUUUGCCUUAUAAUUGAAGGCUGGAAUGAAUGGUUUGACAAGAAUACACCUGUCUCUUUUAGAUUAUUUAGAAUUUUAUCUCUGGGUGAAAAAGCCCAGAUCUUAUUAAAAGACAAGAAGACCCUAUCGAGCUUCAGAAAAAUUAAUAGAGAUUAUAUUUAAUAUUAAUUAAAAGAAAAGCUAUUGGAUACUUUGGUUGGGGCAACCGAGGAGUAAAUAAAGCCUCCUUUAAAUAAGAAGUCUUACUUGUGAAGAUCCAAGAAUUUUGAUCAAAGAAAUUAGUUACCGUAGGGAUAACAGCAUUAUCUUUUUUGAGAGCCCAUAUCGAAAAAAAGGUUUGUGACCUCGAUGUUGGACCAGAAUAUCCUAAAGAUGCAGAAGUCUUUGAGGGUUGGUCUGUUCGACCAUUAAAAUUC